RNAcentral lists this ribosomal RNA (419 nucleotides) under Ambystoma mexicanum (axolotl). RNAcentral's name for it is "partial 16S ribosomal RNA". It matches the Rfam family "Bacterial large subunit ribosomal RNA", at positions 1990 to 2581 of the family's 2925-position model. Lineage: Eukaryota; Metazoa; Chordata; Amphibia; Caudata; Ambystomatidae. The record is from RNAcentral.
GUAUGAAUGGUCAAACGAUAGUCUAACUGUCUCUUUAAAUAAAUCAGUGAAACUAAUCUCCCCGUGCAGAAGCGGGAAUGAUACCAUAAGACGAGAAGACCCUAUGGAGCUUUAAAUUUUACUUAACUAUAAUUUUAUAUUAUCCUAAGGGAAAACCUUAUACUUUUAUAUAUUAAUAAAAAUUUUAGGUUGGGGCGACCACGGAAUAAAGAAAAACUUCCGAGAUGAGAUUUAUAGAAGGACACUUCACAAAAUAGAAAAAUGUAACAUAUUGACCCAAUAAUUGAUCAACGAACCAAGUUACCCUAGGGAUAACAGCGCAAUCUUCUCCAAGAGUUCUUAUCGACGAGUAGGUUUACGACCUCGAUGUUGGAUCAGGACACCCAAAUGGUGCAGCAGCUAUUAAAGGUUCGUUUGUU